Long non-coding RNA from Oncorhynchus nerka (sockeye salmon), 2326 nucleotides. RefSeq lists it as uncharacterized. The transcript has 2 exons. NCBI's taxonomy places the organism in Eukaryota, Metazoa, Chordata, Actinopteri, Salmoniformes, Salmonidae. The record is from RefSeq and is a predicted model, not a curated record.
UAGGAGUGACCCAUGGUCCACCACAGAGGAAACGUGUCCUAUGUAGGACAGGGCAGACCUAUCUAGAGGAGUGUAGAUCUAUGGUAAAUGUGAAUGUGUGUAUGGUUUGUAAAAAGAGUCAGGUAUUUAACCCAUUUAGACUAAACUCCUCCCACUCAUGAAUAUUCAUGUACCACUGCUGUUCCAGAACAUCUUUGUUGCAGAUGUUGUUAACACAUCACAUGUCAUUAUGUUUCUCCUGGUCUUGUUUAUUUCGUUAUGGCAGGAGACAUGUUCCUGGGUCUAUAUCAGGGCUGUCCAACCCUGUUCCUGGAGAUAAACCUCCUGUAGGUUUUAACUCCAACCCUGUUCCUGGAGAUAAACCUCCUGUAGGUUUUAACUCCAACCCUGUUCCUGGAGAGAUAAACCUCCUGUAGGUUUUAACUCCAACCCUGUUCCUGGAGAUAAACCUCCUGUAGGUUUUAACUCCAACCCUGUUCCUGAAGAGAAACCCUCCUGUAGGUUUUAACUCCAACCCCAGUUGUAACCAACCUGAUUCAGAUUUUCAACCAGCUAAUUAUUAGAAUCAGGGUUGGAGUUAAAACCUACAGGAGGUUUAUCUCUCCAGGAACAGGGUUGGAGUUAAAACCUACAGGAGAGUUUCUCUCCAGGAACAGGGUUGGAGUUAAAACCUACAGGAGGUUUAUCUCUCCAGGAACAGGGUUAGAGUUAAAACCUACAGGAGAGUUUCUCUCCAGGAACAGGGUUGGAGUUAAAACCUACAGGAGGGUAUCUCUCCAGGAAGAGGGUUGGAGUUAAAACCUACAGGAGGGUCUCUCCAGGAACAGGGUUGGACAGCCCUGGGUCUAUAUAGUUAAUGUCAAUGUAUAUCAAUAUAUAUAUAUAUAUCUAUCUAUGCGCUCAAAUGGUGUCAGCUCCUGUGUAAUAUUGAACAUGUCUACCUACGGCCAUACAGUUAGAUUGUCACCGAGAUUCUUAUUCCAUAUGAUCAGCAUUCUAGGAUAUGACCACAUUCUCUACACUCAGCAGUGUGUCAUGUUCACUGUUAUGACACGGUAGAGCUACAGUCACAUACACAUCCAUCGUUAUACUAGGCUGCAUGUAAGCAGCAGUAGCCUAGUCCCUGUCAUUCAAACAGAAACACAGUUUCCACUCCUCACUGCUUAUUCAGUAUAGGGUGGAGUGCACUGCAGGAGCCAACAUGGAACCCAGUUUCUACUCCUCACUGCUUAUUCAGUAUAGGGUGGAGUGCACUGCAGGAGCCAAAAUGGAACCCAGUUUCUACUCCUCACUGCUUAUUCAGUAUAGGGUGAGUGCACUGCAGGAGCCAAAAUGGAACCCAGUUUCUACUCCUCACUGCUUAUUCAGUAUAGGGUGAGUGCACUGCAGGAGCCAAAAUGGAACCCAGUUUCUACUCCUCACUGCUUAUUCAGUAUAGGGUGAGUGCACUGCAGGAGCCAAAAUGGAACCCAGUUUCUACUCCUCACUGCUUAUUCAGUAUAGGGUGAGUGCACUGCAGGAGCCAAAAUGGAACCCAGUUUCUACUCCUCACUGCUUAUUCAGUAUAGGGUGGAGUGCACUGCAGGAGCCAAAAUGGCCAACUGUCAUGUCACUCAGCAUUGAUCAGAAAUCACCUUGCUCUACAGAUUUUCUAGCCUGUUAUACAACGUCUUCAUGCGCCUCUAUAUCUGUACAGUACAACACCUAUUUUAUCUGUCAUGAAUGUACAUUGCACAGGUUGUUGGUGUCGUUGUCUCCUUGAGACCACAAAUGAUGGUUUCUCUGUCUCUCUCUCUCUUCCCUGCCAUCAGCAUCUGUGUUUUGGGCUGUUGUGCUGAAGCUCAACGUGUUCUUUAGCCACAUAUCAACCUGUAUACAUUGUGUUUCUGUAUAUUUUCAGAGAGCAGGCUAGUCUCCGAGACGUGUGGGUAUUCACGGUAUAACAGAUAUGCACUAAAGACUUCUAUAUUAAGUCGACCAGAUUCUCGUGAGAGAUUCUCGUGAAAAGCAUUAACGUUUUGGCGAGCGUGACGGAUUGAGAAAGAGGAGAGACUGUUUUGACAGAUGACUUGGGCUUAAACCUGCUUCCUCCUACUCCUCUGUAUCUCGUGUGUGUGUGUGUGUGUGUGGAGCUGUAUACUGUACGUAUCCCAGUGUAUAUAUAUAUAUUCCUCAUUGAUUUGAUCCAACGCUUGGACCUGUACUACUGUAUAGUAAUAUGAAUGUGGUGUUCUUCUGUACUAUCGGGAUCCUUCUUAUAUAUCUGAUCUCCAACAAUCCCGUUUUGCUUUCUUGUUGUGUGUCGCUUUAAAAAAAACAACAUGGA